Molecule: ribosomal RNA, 244 nt
Filed under: uncultured bacterium
Lineage: Bacteria
Description: partial 16S ribosomal RNA
Rfam family: Bacterial small subunit ribosomal RNA
Source: RNAcentral
UAACACGUAAGCAACCUGCCUAUCAGAGGGGAACAACAGUUAGAAAUGACUGCUAAUACCGCAUAUGCCUUAGUAUCGCAUGGUACAAAAGGGAAAGGAGCAAUCCGCUGAUAGAUGGGCUUGCGUCUGAUUAGCUAGUUGGUGGGGUAAAGGCCUACCAAGGCGACGAUCAGUAGCCGGACUGAGAGGUUGAACGGCCACAUUGGGACUGAGACACGGCCCAAACUCCUACGGAAGGCAGCAG